RNAcentral lists this ribosomal RNA (1998 nucleotides) under Triticum aestivum (bread wheat). Its description in RNAcentral is "partial small subunit ribosomal RNA". The record is from RNAcentral. Lineage: Eukaryota; Viridiplantae; Streptophyta; Magnoliopsida; Poales; Poaceae.
AUGGCCUCCUCCCCCUCCUCCUCCUCCACCAUGCCCCCCGCCGCCUCCUCCUCCAUCUCCAUGUCCUCCGCCGCCGCCUCCUCCUCGCGGCCCCCCGCCGACGCAGCGCUCGCGCCGAGCCUCGACUACGACACGGCCUUUCCGGUUCUCGGGAGUUCGCCGUCGCGUCCUCCCAGGGGCGGGAGAGCUGCGCCGCCGCCGCGUCCUCCGGGGAGGAGCGAGGACCGUCUGAGAGGAGGGAAGACGCCCAGCUACACGUUCGACAGCGACACCGUCGGCAUGUCGCUUGGUUCGCUCUACGGGCGCGCGGACGAUGCCGCAGCAGAGACGACUGCGGCCACGGCCGAGGCGGCGCCGGCGACGACCUCUUCCGCGCCUGCCACGAAGACCUCGGUGGGGACGAGCUCCGCGCGUCCAUCGACCUUCGCCGCAGCGGCGGUGGUUCUCUCAGGGGCUCCCGCCCUGCUGCCUGCUGUGCAGGUGUUCGGCGACUACCGCUUCGGGUAUACGAUGGGCGACUUCUUCCAGGACCUCGGGUUGCUGCCGGACCUCCGGCAGCAUCUCCAGGUCGUCAACGAGCCGAGGCAUCGGCCGCCGCUCCAGUUUCAGGUCCAGCCGCCGCUCAGGCCCCCCGCUACUUCAACGCGCCUCCGCCCCAGUUCGUGCCGCCGAGCUUCGGGCAGCAGUUCCAGGUCUCCGCUCGCCCGCUACACCAAGGGGAUGCAGUUCUCGGCGCCGCCCCAGUUCGCGUCGAGCCCUCCGGUGUUCAUACGGGUUCAGUUCGAGCAUCAGCAGGGGUCCUUCACGGGUUUCGUCAGGGUACAGGACAGGUACAGGACAGUCGGGGGGCCGAAGGCGGCGAGCGACGUGUUGUUGGCGCGUGGGAGGUUCGGGGGCGGGGUGGCGAUCCGACUCAGGGUGGCCACCAACAUUGGGGCCACGUACUGGUUCCUAGGGCUCAAGGACUGGGUCGGUGAGCUCAUGGGUGCACCGCCACGGUAUCGCCCCACGGAGUCGUGGAGCUGGCUAGAUAUUAUGGGAUGUCCAAUCCCCCAGGACAUGAAGGACACGUGCAGUCAGAGCGCCUGCCUGAUGUGCUUGGAGGCCCAGCACCGGCUGGCGUACGAGCGGAGGCACGGCAGUGAUACGUUCCCGUACCACAUCCCAGCUUCCACGGCCAAGGACUUGGUGACGAGAUGCAAGGCUGCCCGCGUCUGGAACCGCAAGGACGGCGCCACCAUUGACAACCAAAGUUUUAAAUAGCGCGCUAAGCAUCUUAGCGCCGGACCUCUUUCAAAUGCUAUAGCGUGCUAUAGCGGAGCUAUAGCGCGCUAUUUAAAAUGUUUGUUCAUUUGUUUGGACCAAAGUCUCUUAGCGCAAGGCCUUUUGUAAACGCUAUAGCGUGCUAUAGCGGAGCUAUAGCGGGCUAUUUGAAACAGUGUUGACAACGUGCUGAAGCAAAUCCAGCGGGCCGGCGGGGCGGAGGCUUGGCCAGACCAGGACGGCUCGGGGCGGCGGUGCAACCUCCAGGUCAAGUCAUGGGAAUCCUGGUCGUCCAAGCGGCUGCCCUCGGCCUCCAGCCUCGCGCGUAUGAUCCGCACUGAGGGGCCGCUCAUCGGUUGUUUGGUCGUCGGAGAGGAUUACUACGCCGAUGGCUGGGAGAAGCGAGUAUACAGGGGAGGCUCGGGAAAGAAGGCAGGGCCUCACGCCGUGGUCUGCACGGGAUACCGGUACGAGCAGGGCGAGGAGAAGAUAGAGGUGGUGGAGAACCACUAUUGGGAUGGGCCUGCCCAGUGGAUUUACAGGACGGCCUUCACGGACUUUACCCAGAUCAAGGUUGAGCCUCUCGACGCCUCCCCUCUCUUUAUCGGGAAGGAGGUGAGCUGGUGGCGCCGCCUUGAGCGCAGGCUUUGGAGGGAAGAGACGUGCUGGUGGCUCCGCCGCCGUGAUAUUAGCGAGCAAUGGAACAAGACCUUGGCUCUUCACAUGAAGCGCUAG